This 358-nucleotide unclassified non-coding RNA is filed under the name Hevea brasiliensis (rubber tree). The record is from RNAcentral. Lineage: Eukaryota; Viridiplantae; Streptophyta; Magnoliopsida; Malpighiales; Euphorbiaceae.
AAAGAAAGAUCUUGACACAAGAUCAUUAAAAUAUCCAUCACCCACAACUGUACUAUCAUUACCAUCUUUGUCUUGUACUAUAAAACCCUCUGCCAUCCAUAAACGGACCAAAUCCUCUUUGUAAAAUUCAUAACCCUUUGGAAAUAUUCCACAAUAGGCAAAACACUGCUUUAGAUGCGAUGGGAGAUAAUGAUAACUCAAUUUUAAAGCUGGAACGAUAUUGUCACUCAAUAAAUUCCACAUAUUGCUUUGUGAUAUCUUCUUCCAUUCCUCAACAUUUCUCUUGGAUCGAAGGAGACCCCCAAUUGUUUUCACCGCUAAUGGUAGACCGCCACACUUUUUGGCUAUUUCCUUACCA